This is a long non-coding RNA of Manihot esculenta (cassava), 612 nucleotides long. RefSeq lists it as uncharacterized. The record is from RefSeq and is a predicted model, not a curated record. The transcript has 2 exons. NCBI's taxonomy places the organism in Eukaryota, Viridiplantae, Streptophyta, Magnoliopsida, Malpighiales, Euphorbiaceae.
UCUAUUAAGGCCUUAGAUUAUAUUGAUGGCUAAUUUAUCGAUGUGUUAUAAAUAUAUAUAUCAGUUGCAAUAUUAUUGAAUAGUAAUUAGAGGCCAGCGAGAGAAGAGAAAAAAGAGGGAUGAGAGAAAGGAAAUAGCCGGAAAAAGAGGGCGAGCAGGGAAGAUCUUUCUCUGGUGGUUUUGUAGCGAUUUCAUGUGGCUUUAUUCGGUGAGGGAUGACCUUAAUGAACCUACUUGAGAGUACUCCGGUCAGGCGGCAUUUGGAGAGGUUUUUACUUGUUAUUCGGUGGCUUCCACUCCCAUUGGGUGUAGAUCGGCUAAGCUCUAUGGUACCACCUCCUUCUGCAGCAGUUUUGAUGGAUCGGAACUUUCUUAUGGUGCUGAGAGCCUAAUCGACUUGCUUGUUAUUUGCUUUUUCUGGUCUUUUAGUCUCUCCUCUAUGCUUUUGUUUAGUUUGAUUUUGAUUUAGUUUAAUUUUAAUUUUUUUUUUUAUUUUUCCUUUUCGGAAAUGGGAUUAUAUAACCCUCUGUUGUAGUUUUAUGGGUCUUGAGAAAUGCCCUCUAUAUUUUCAUUGAUAAAAAAAAAUUGCAAUAUUAAAUAAUUUUAUCAUCA